AUUGAACGCUGGCGGCAUGCCCUACACAUGCAAGUCGAACGGUAACGGGUCUUCGGAUGCUGACGAGUGGCGAACGGGUGAGUAAUACAUCGGAACGUGCCUAGUAGUGGGGGAUAACUACUCGAAAGAGUGGCUAAUACCGCAUGAGAUCUACGGAUGAAAGCAGGGGAUCGCAAAACCUUGUGCUACUAGAGCGGCCGAUGGCAGAUUAGGUAGUUGGUGGGAUAAAAGCUUACCAAGCCGACGAUCUGUAGCUGGUCUGAGAGGACGAUCAGCCACACUGGGACUGAGACACGGCCCAGACUCCUACGGGAGGCAGCAGUGGGGAAUUUUGGACAAUGGGCGCAAGCCUGAUCCAGCAAUGCCGCGUGCAGGAUGAAGGCCUUCGGGUUGUAAACUGCUUUUGUACGGAACGAAAAGCCCUGGGUUAAUACCCUGGGGUCAUGACGGUACCGUAAGAAUAAGCACCGGCUAACUACGUGCCAGCCGCCGCCGUAA
RNAcentral lists this ribosomal RNA (498 nucleotides) under uncultured bacterium. RNAcentral describes it as "partial 16S ribosomal RNA". It matches the Rfam family "Bacterial small subunit ribosomal RNA", at positions 30 to 523 of the family's 1533-position model. The record is from RNAcentral.